This 397-nucleotide ribosomal RNA is filed under the name uncultured bacterium. RNAcentral's name for it is "partial 16S ribosomal RNA". It matches the Rfam family "Bacterial small subunit ribosomal RNA", at positions 523 to 918 of the family's 1533-position model. The record is from RNAcentral.
AUACGUAGGUGGCGAGCGUUGUCCGGAAUGAUUGGGCGUAAAGGGCGCGUAGGCGGCCGCUUAAGUCUGGAGUGAAAGUCCUGUUUUCAAGAUGGGAAUUGCUUUGGAUACUGGGGGGCUUGAGUGCAGGAGAGGUUAUCGGAAUUCCCGGUGUAGCGGUGAAAUGCGUAGAGAUCGGGAGGAACACCAGUGGCGAAGGCGGGUACCUGGACUGCAACUGAGGCUGAGGCGCGAAAGUGUGGGGAGCAAACAGGAUUAGAUACCCUGGUAGUCCACAAUGUAAACGAUGAAUGCUAGGUGUAAGAGGUAUCGACCCCUUUUGUGCCGGAGUCAACACAAUAAGCAUUCCGCCUGGGGAGUACGGCCGCAAGGUUGAAACUCAAAUGAAUUGGCGGGG